CGGGGUGUAAUGUCAGCCCGGUCAGACGGCCUGCUUCGGAUGCAGGAGGCCGCAGGUUCAAAUCCUGCCACCCCGACCA
RNAcentral lists this transfer RNA (79 nucleotides) under Burkholderia ubonensis. Its description in RNAcentral is "tRNA-Pro". It matches the Rfam family "tRNA". From Rfam's summary of the family: Transfer RNA (tRNA) molecules are approximately 80 nucleotides in length. The record is from RNAcentral. Lineage: Bacteria; Pseudomonadati; Pseudomonadota; Betaproteobacteria; Burkholderiales; Burkholderiaceae.